Molecule: microRNA, 22 nt
Filed under: Monodelphis domestica (gray short-tailed opossum)
Lineage: Eukaryota; Metazoa; Chordata; Mammalia; Didelphimorphia; Didelphidae
Description: mdo-miR-7308-5p
Source: miRBase by way of RNAcentral
UGUGCGACACUGGUCAGAGAUU